Molecule: unclassified non-coding RNA, 360 nt
Filed under: fungal sp.
Lineage: Eukaryota; Fungi
Description: partial internal transcribed spacer region
Rfam family: Eukaryotic small subunit ribosomal RNA (bases 1-46)
Source: RNAcentral
AAGUCGUAACAAGGUUUCCGUAGGUGAACCUGCGGAAGGAUCAUUACAGUGCUCGUCGGUACGCCACGUCUCCGGGCGUGGACGUGCCGCACCUGCCCCACCCGUGUCUACCUUUACCUUCUGUUGCUUCGGCGGGCCCGCCUUUGCCACGUAGGUACGCUUACUACCCCGUCCUAACCACGGAGAUGAGGGGGCAAGCGUACCUACGCAGCGGGCGGACCGGGGACCCCGCGCACGCACGCGGCCCCUGGCCAGCGCCCGUCAGAGGACCGUCUGAACCUCCUUGUGAAUGUACGACCAGUCUGAGAUUCUACUUUAGAAAUACAGUCAAAACUUUCAACAACGGAUCUCUUGGUUCUG